CAGUAGCCGCGGUAAAACGGAGGGUGCAAGCGUUAAUCGGAAUUACUGGGCGUAAAGCGCACGCAGGCGGUCUGACAAGUCAGAUGUGAAAUCCCCGGGCUUAACCUGGGAACUGCAUUUGAAACUGUCAGGCUGGAGUCUUGUAGAGGGGGGUGGAAUUCCAGGUGUAGCGGUGAAAUGCGUAGAGAUCCGGAGGAAUACCGGUGGCGAAGGCGGCCCCCUGGACAAAGACUGACGCUCAGGUGCGAAAGCGUGGGGAGCAAACAGGAUUAGAUACCCCUGUAGUCCCUGUCUCUUAUAC
RNAcentral lists this ribosomal RNA (301 nucleotides) under uncultured bacterium. RNAcentral describes it as "partial 16S ribosomal RNA". It matches the Rfam family "Bacterial small subunit ribosomal RNA", at positions 509 to 807 of the family's 1533-position model. The record is from RNAcentral.